CUCUCCAUAUUUUCCUUAACCAAGUAUUAAACCGAAACACCCUUUUUUCUUGUUUAUCUUGUCCGCACCACUCUCAACACACACAAUCUUCAUUAUUUCUAUUAUGUUUUAAUCACAAGAUCAAGCUUAAAGAUUCAAAGUUCAAAUGGCUUCAAGUGCUCAAACCCAAAGUUCUUACCCUUUUUUCUAGCCAUCUUCUCCUUGCUUACAUUCAGUAGUGAUGGUACUGCUCUGUGAUGAUUGAUGAUAUGUGCUACACUUAGGAUGGACUCGUGCCUUAGCGACUUUAAAACAUGAAAGAUAAUAGUUGUACUUAUUUGAUUGUAUUAAAACAAUGAGUUCAUUUAUUCAAUAAAACAAC
This 361-nucleotide long non-coding RNA is filed under the name Helianthus annuus (common sunflower). Its description in RNAcentral is "sRNA HanXRQr2_Chr14g0626371". Lineage: Eukaryota; Viridiplantae; Streptophyta; Magnoliopsida; Asterales; Asteraceae. The record is from RNAcentral.